This 34-nucleotide transfer RNA is filed under the name Acrocephalus syrinx. RNAcentral's name for it is "partial tRNA-Lys". RNAcentral also lists the same sequence under 3 other names. The record is from RNAcentral. Lineage: Eukaryota; Metazoa; Chordata; Aves; Passeriformes; Sylviidae.
CUAGAGAAAGAGGGCUUUCCCCCUCCUUAAUGGU